This 469-nucleotide ribosomal RNA is filed under the name uncultured Desulfobulbaceae bacterium. RNAcentral's name for it is "bacterial SSU rRNA". It matches the Rfam family "Bacterial small subunit ribosomal RNA", at positions 335 to 796 of the family's 1533-position model. The record is from RNAcentral. Lineage: Bacteria; Pseudomonadati; Thermodesulfobacteriota; Desulfobulbia; Desulfobulbales; Desulfobulbaceae.
GUCCUACGGGAGGCAGCAGUGAGGAAUAUUGCGCAAUGGGGGAAACCCUGACGCAGCGACGCCGCGUGGAUGAUGAAGGCCUUCGGGUCGUAAAAUCCUGUCAGGUGGAAAGAAAUGCAUGGUGGUUAAUACCCAUCAUGUUUGACGGUACCACCGAAGGAAGCACCGGCUAACUCCGUGCCAGCAGCCGCGGUAAUACGGAGGGUGCAAGCGUUGUUCGGAAUUACUGGGCGUAAAGCGCGCGCAGGCGGUUUGCUAAGUCAGAUGUGAAAGCCCAUGGCUCAACCAUGGACGGGCAUUUGAAACUGGCAAGCUUGAGUAGUGGAGGGGGUGGUGGAAUUCCCGGUGUAGAGGUGAAAUUCGUAGAUAUCGGGAGGAAUACCGGUGGCGAAGGCGACCACCUGGCCACAUACUGACGCUGAGGCGCGAAAGCGUGGGGAGCAAACAGGAUUAGAUACCCUGGUAGUCU